GAUGAACGCUGACAGAAUGCUUAACACAUGCAAGUCAACUUGAACUUCGGUUUGGGUGGCGGACGGGUGAGUAACGCGUAAAGAACUUGCCUCACAGAUAGGGACAACAUUUGGAAACGAAUGCUAAUACCUGAUAUUAUGAUUUUAGGGCAUCCCAGAAUUAUGAAAGCUAUAUGCGCUGUGAGAGAGCUUUGCGUCCCAUUAGCUAGUUGGAGAGGUAACGGCUCACCAAGGCGAUGAUGGGUAGCCGGCCUGAGAGGGUGAUCGGCCACAAGGGGACUGAGACACGGCCCUUACUCCUACGGGAGGCAGCAGUGGAGAAUAUUGGACAAUGGACCAAGAGUCUGAUCCAGCAAUUCUGUGUGCACGAUGAAGUUUUUCGGAAUGUAAAGUGCUUUCAGUUGGGAAGAAAAAAAUGACGGUACCAACAGAAGAAGUGACGGCUAAAUACGUGCCAGCAGCCGCGGUAAUACGUAUGUCACAAGCGUUAUCCGGAUUUAUUGGGCGUAAAGCGCGUCUAGGUGGUUAUAUAAGUCUGAUGUGAAAAUGCAGGGCUCAACUCUGUAUUGCGUUGGAAACUGUGUAACUAGAGUACUGGAGAGGUAAGCGGAACUACAAGUGUAGAGGUGAAAUUCGUAGAUAUUUGUAGGAAUGCCGAUGGGGAAGCCAGCUUACUGGACAGAUACUGACGCUGAAGCGCGAAAGCGUGGGUAGCAAACAGG
RNAcentral lists this ribosomal RNA (722 nucleotides) under uncultured Fusobacterium sp. Its description in RNAcentral is "bacterial SSU rRNA". It matches the Rfam family "Bacterial small subunit ribosomal RNA", at positions 28 to 776 of the family's 1533-position model. Lineage: Bacteria; Fusobacteriati; Fusobacteriota; Fusobacteriia; Fusobacteriales; Fusobacteriaceae. The record is from RNAcentral.